This 428-nucleotide ribosomal RNA is filed under the name Acidobacteriota bacterium. Its description in RNAcentral is "Acidobacteria bacterium partial 16S ribosomal RNA". It matches the Rfam family "Bacterial small subunit ribosomal RNA", at positions 355 to 775 of the family's 1533-position model. The record is from RNAcentral. Lineage: Bacteria; Pseudomonadati; Acidobacteriota.
UGGGGAAUUUUGGACAAUGGGGGAAACCCUGAUCCAGCCAUCCCGCGUGUGCGAUGAAGGCCUUCGGGUUGUAAAGCACUUUUGGCAGGAAAGAAACGUCAUGGGUUAAUACCCCGUGAAACUGACGGUACCUGCAGAAUAAGCACCGGCUAACUACGUGCCAGCAGCCGCGGUAAUACGUAGGGUGCAAGCGUUAAUCGGAAUUACUGGGCGUAAAGCGUGCGCAGGCGGUUCGGAAAGAAAGAUGUGAAAUCCCAGAGCUCAACUUUGGAACUGCAUUUUUAGCUACCGGGCUAGAGUGUGUCAGAGGGAGGUGGAAUUCCGCGUGUAGCAGUGAAAUGCGUAGAUAUGCGGAGGAACACCGAUGGCGAAGGCAGCCUCCUGGGAUAACACUGACGCUCAUGCACGAAAGCGUGGGGAGCAAACAG